Cervus elaphus (red deer) is the source of this 190-nucleotide long non-coding RNA. RefSeq lists it as uncharacterized. The record is from RefSeq and is a predicted model, not a curated record. The transcript has 3 exons. NCBI's taxonomy places the organism in Eukaryota, Metazoa, Chordata, Mammalia, Artiodactyla, Cervidae.
AUCCACUCCAGGCAGAGGACUCAGAACAUAUUUCAGGACAGGAGAACCUAGGAAGGAAGGCCUUACCAAGGUAGAAGCCUUUCUCCACACCGUGCCUCCUGCAGUGGGAAUAGGAAAGACAUCACUCUACUUACAUAGGUAAGCAUGGCUACUGCUACUGCUAAGUCACUUCAGUCGUGUCUGACUCUGU